Long non-coding RNA from Brassica napus (rape), 1226 nucleotides. RefSeq lists it as uncharacterized. The transcript is spliced from 2 exons. NCBI's taxonomy places the organism in Eukaryota, Viridiplantae, Streptophyta, Magnoliopsida, Brassicales, Brassicaceae. The record is from RefSeq and is a predicted model, not a curated record.
CGUAUUGGAUCUGGUCCUCAACUACCUCUAGGCCAACUACGUUGGUUACAAAGGUCUAGAAGUUACACAAAAUAUUUUCUAAGAAAAUGUAUCGAUUAAUAUGUUGUGCAUCAUCUCUAGGUACUAGAUCUUUAGAGCAUGAUUAUUGCAGUUUUUUAAGAGAAUUUUUAAGCUAAAUCACUCAUUUAAUUAAAUCAAAAGUAAAUAAUUGAUCCUUAAUUGAGCAUUUUGGACACCGAUCUUUAGAGGGAUUUUAAACACACGUGUCAGUACACAAUCAAACAUAAAAAAAAUUUCUCUCUUUAUUUUCUUUUCUUUUUGUUUCUUCGUCUUCUCUUGUUUUUUCCGAAAGACAACAAUGUAUUUUCCGUGAGGACGACGAAGGCGGUUCUUUUCUUUAUGUUUCUGUUGUUAAAAAUUCAAUUGGUUUCCCUUCGAUGAGGAUCAGAGUCAUCCAUUCACUCUUCUCCGCCGUUUCUCGCAAACACACCACUUGUUUCUCGUCGUCGAGGACUCAAUGGUCUCAGCUCAGCCCUGGAAGAACAGUUCCCUUGAGAAAAAGAUUCUUCUUGUUGCCUCCAAAAGCCACCACAGAGCAAUCAUGUCUUAAAUUGAUUUUCCCAAAAGUUGUAGCCUUCGCUGUUGAAAGUUCUAAAUUUAGAGAGUCUUUUGGUAUUUCCUUUAAGGUCAAGUGGGAGGAGAAGACGUGGAUAGCAACAUCAUGCCGUAUUGCAUCAUCAACAAGGCUGAGAAGAAAAUAACCAAUUGUUAUAUAUUUUUUCUGCAGUCGUUCUAGUACGAUGGCAAAGCGAUCAUGUCAAAUGAGGAGUUUGAUAACUUUAAAGAAGAGUUGAUGUGGGAAGGAAUCAGUGUUGUCAUUGUAAGUAAUCAACUAUUAUUUUUGUUUUUGGUUUCUUAGGGUAAAAGCUUCAUCUUUGAUUUGGUUACAUGAAAUAGUAGGUUUUGAUGAACAUAGAUUCUUGGAAGCUUCAAUGGCUUGUGUUUCGGGAAAUCUGAUCCUCAAUGAUGAAGAAUUUGAUCAGCUCAAACUCAAACUUAAGGUUCUAUUCCACUCAAAAUACACAUAUCCUCAUUUCUCUGAGCUUCAGUUUUUAAGGAUUCUUUCUGCUUCUGUAGAUGGAUGGUAGCGAGAUUGUGUGUGAGGGUCCAAGGUGCAGUCUCCGUAGUAAGACGGGACGUAAUGUUGUGAUCGAGCAAAGUUGGGG